UACUAUCAGUUACGCGUGUUUCCAUUCUUCACCAAUCAAGAACUUAGACAUCUUUUCGUACUAAAGAAACCGAGUAACAGCCGCUGUUGUUUUAUUUAUUUAUUCUUUUAAACUUUCGUUGAUUGUUCGGAAUUAGCAAUAAAUUCUGCAUUUCCGCUUUUUUUUAAACCAAUCAAGAGCUUAAUCUAUAAUCAUCAUGGCUUUAAACAUUCACCGAACCAUCUAUAUAUAACUCCACAUAUUCUGUUCGACACCCUCAUUCCUCACACACAUCUCCCACCUUUCUGUUUCGCCACUUCAAAACAAUCCACCGGAGACGGGAGAUCGCGAAGACAUCAGAGGACGACAGGAACGCGGCACGCCUCGUUUACGGUAUACGUUCCAACUAUUCUUUUAUUUUCUUUUCGUUCGUCGUUCCUUCGUUUCUGUCAAUUUCAAAGUUAAAACACAACGGAUUCUUAAUUGGUUACAUGUUCUGUUCUUGUCUUCUUUAUGACACCGCGCAUUGUCGGAAAGAACUCGAAGCCGCCAGAGUUGGAGGUCUCGCCGGAACCGGGGUUCAUCGGAGGCGCCCGUAAGCCGCAACUGAGUUUCGCUCCUUUCAUUUCGGAUAACCAUUACAUUCGUUCUCUUGGAUUUUACCCAAUCUUAUUCAUACGCUACUUUACAAGAAGCGCAACGCAAUCUAAGGUUGAUUAGUACAAGACUCAAGAAACAAGCUAGGAUG
Molecule: long non-coding RNA, 727 nt
Organism: Helianthus annuus (common sunflower)
Lineage: Eukaryota; Viridiplantae; Streptophyta; Magnoliopsida; Asterales; Asteraceae
Exons: 3
Source: RefSeq, a predicted model, not a curated record